RNAcentral lists this unclassified non-coding RNA (253 nucleotides) under uncultured Flavobacteriaceae bacterium. RNAcentral describes it as "contains 16S-23S intergenic spacer region". It matches the Rfam family "Bacterial small subunit ribosomal RNA", at positions 524 to 776 of the family's 1533-position model. The record is from RNAcentral. Lineage: Bacteria; Pseudomonadati; Bacteroidota; Flavobacteriia; Flavobacteriales; Flavobacteriaceae.
UACGGAGGAUCCAAGCGUUAUCCGGAAUCAUUGGGUUUAAAGGGUCCGUAGGCGGACAAUUAAGUCAGUGGUGAAAGUCUUCCGCUUAACUGUAGAACUGCCAUUGAUACUGUUGUCCUUGAGUAAUUAUGAAGUGGUUAGAAUAUGUAGUGUAGCGGUGAAAUGCAUAGAUAUUACAUAGAAUACCGAUUGCGAAGGCAGAUCACUAAUAAUUCACUGACGCUGAGGGACGAAAGCGUAGGUAGCGAACAGG